UCCAAUCACCUCCCACCAGGCCCCACCCCAAAUACUGAGAAUUAUAUUUUGACAUGAGAUUUGGGUGGGGACACAGCUCCAAACCAUAUCAGACCUAAGGUCCUGACGCACCUCUGGUUCUCACACAGCAUCCCAGUCUCCACCAGAGCAAUGGGCAUCUUGAAGACAUUCAGUGACUAUUUGUUGAAUGAUAGAAGGAAAUGAAUACUUUCCCAAGCUUAAUUGUCCAGAUGAAAGUGUUCUUUUCCAUCAGAUAUUGUAGAUGUGGAAGGAAGGAUCAGAAUGGACUAUGAUGAAUUAUGCAAGCCAGUGCGUCAUUCACCCAGUAAUAGUGUCCAAGAACACUAAGCAUCCAAACACGACUUGAGGCACCCUCGUGGAGCCUGUGGGUUCUUCUGAUGCAAAACGCGGUCUUUUCUUUCUGCUUUUAGGGGAAAAUGCUUCAUGAUUCCAAGAACUUUCAAUUGUAUAUUUGAUAAAGUCUUCAUCCUAGUUAAGUACUAAUAUUUAGGAUUCAUAAUAUUUGCCAUUUAUAGUUGCAAUGACUGCUUUAGCAGGAUUUACUGAAAUGUCUUGUUAAGUACUUUUCUAAGAAAUCUGGCUGCUAUGCAACUCUUGGAAAUAUUGUCAAACUCACACUGUGCAUCUACACAGACAGUUGGUAUCCCCCAACUGUGUUUACAAAGUAGGCUUUCUAAAAAUCAGUUUAUUAUCACUGUUGUCAUAAGGUGGUCAAGGAAUUUUCAGUUGUUGUUACUCUUGCUUUUUAAACAUUUUGAUUCACAAUUAAAUGAGUGUUUUGACUUCUAACAUAACAUAUAUGUCGCUGUUUGCAUUACACACAGUCCUGCACUAGUCAAUUGCCAAAGCAGAAGCAAAAUCAUCCAAAUAUCCUUUGUAUUUAUUUAUCAAGUGAGAAUUCACUAUUGUCACUAAUUUAUGUUCCAUUUUUAGAAUGGAUAAGCUGGGGUUGGUGGUCCUUAGUGUUUUCUAUCCUGCUUUCAAUGCAAAUCAUCUAAAGAAAUAACGCUUGAAAACCACAACUCCUGCUUAUCUUUGAGAGGUAUUGCUUUCAGAAUUAUUUAAGGUCUGGCCACCGAGUCAUCACUAAAUCAUCAUAACAGAUAAACUAAUCACAUAGACAACAUCUGCAGAAUUCAAUAAGUAUGUUGGUGCCUACAUUGUCUGCUGCUGUGCAAAGAAGCAGCUAGGGAUGAGAUCUUGCUCUCUGGAGAAAAGAAAGUAAGAAGGAAAGAAAACAAAACACCAUUGAAAUGCUGGAUCUUACGUACCAAGGAAUGUUUGCUAUAGUUGAGUCUGGGGUGCUGGUGGGUUAUUAUGAAGCUUGGAGUUGGCCACAGAACAGCAUUCAAGAGAGAAGACCACAUAUGUGUGUGUCUGCAUUUGAAUGGGAACUAUUAAACUUGCCUGAAUCCAAAAGAGGCAAUAUUCUGGAACAUAAUUUAAAGCCAAUUAAUAACAGUAGCAGAAAACCACAAUUGUGACUAGAUGCUUGCUAAAAACCAGUUGUUCAGCAACCUUGGGCUGUAUAUGAAGAAAGAACACAUGACCAAUUAUUUCAAAAUUUCAAAACUGCUAGGGCUGGGAACAUGGGCUCAGUGGAACUCAGGAGUAGGAGCUGAAGCCAUGAGGAUAGACUGUCCCCGGCUUUGGUUCCCCUUGGCCCUGACCUUGGUGGUGUGGGCAUCCAGCACAACUGAGGCCUUCAUUCCAUUGUGAAGUACAAGCACCUAGCCAGGAACUGGAGAUUCUGAAGGGAGGUAACAGGGAAGUUGGGCAGUUUGAGGUUGACCAGCAGAAAAGCAACAAAGUCUGUGGGCUCCAGAGAGCUGCUGCACCACUUCCACCCUCCACCUCUUCUGGAAGAGUUGCUGUCACCCACAGGAAAGGCAGCACUGGGAAUUCCCUAGUUCAGCCAAGUGGACACAUUACGUAGGCCCACACCAAGGAAGGGAAGACUGGAAACCCUCUCCAUGUCUGCAUAUCGUGGGGCUGCAGGGCCCUUCCACCUGGGGACCCGGCCAUGCCUCAGUCAGUGGGUCUAGAUCUGUAAGCUGACCCAGACCCAGAAACGAUGCAACAAUGGGUGAGUUUUUGUGGGAGUGACAACCCCACUCUCCCAUCAUCCAUCUUUCCCAUCCGUUUUUUAGAGAUUCAGUGCCUGUGCCCACCACCCUGCCCCCUGCCCGCUGUCUCCAUCUCUCUGUGCAGGGCAAGGCAUCUGGGCUCCACUGUAACCCGCCCCUGCUCACCUGCCCAGCCUCCUGUGGCCAGGGUCCUGUCCUCCCCACUGCCACUAGCAAAUCUCAUCCCAUAACAGUCUCUGCUAUUGGCGGCCCUGCUUGACAGAGGAGAGCCGCUGCUGGAAAGCUUAGAGACGGAUGGAUGCCCAUUGCACCAGCACAUCUCCUGGCUGUGAAGUGGCAUCCCCUCCAUCCCUCCACACACACAUCAGUCAGUGGACCACGCAGCCACUUACACCAUGAUCACUGGAGCACACUCACAUCCCUCCACCUCUGACCACAGAAAUGGUGGUAUUUCAGUUUCACACAGCACAGAGCAUUGCCUUUUCUGAACCUUGAGCUGCCAUCCUAGGAGCAAAUCUGCCUCCUGGGUUCUUGCCAGAGGGUUAUGUUCUGUAUCUCACGACUGCAGGGACGAGCAUCUCUAAAUAAUCCUGAACCUCCCGACCUUUCGAUCAUGCGCUCCAAAAACCAGAGCCACUCACCUUCCCCAUCUCAAGUUGGAUAUUCUGGCUGCAUCAUGUGCCUUUGGGAUGCUCCUGCACCUCCUUUUCCUUCUUUAUCAGGCCCCCCAUAUUUCUGCUGGAUAUGUGACAUUAUCCUCAUCAGCCUAGUGGCCAAGAGAAGUGGAGGCUGGACCUGAGGAAGAUGCACGGCUCAUUGUAGCGAGAGGUGCCACGGUGUCUCCAGGCAAGAUACAAGCAUCGUUCCUUCUCAGGAAGGGCAUCUCCUUUCUCCAGGCUUCAGGGGUUCCUAAGAGUCAGGGGGGUUCACAAUUUGCAGGGGCAUCUCAGUCACUAUACAUGGGUAUAUUGGGCAUACAAACCUGCACAUACACACAAGUACACACAUAUAUGUACACACACACAUCCACACACGUAGACACAUAUGUGUGUAGACAUUUCUUAUUCUACAUAUUUGCAGUUAUUAAGUAAUCUACAUAAUGUAUGAUCUUAAGCAUAAACCUUAUAAAUUAUAGUUUAUUUGACUCUCUGGGCAGUUCGUCUUCUUAAUAGAGUAAAUUUACAUCAGAAAAGUAUUCUGAAUCAGAAAAGGUAAAAACUACUUUCUGGCUACGUUUCUGCCUUAGGAAUCAAGGCAGAAGGUGAAGGGGAAACAGGCACAGCUGUCACACAUCCUAAGUUUCCUACGGCCUCCCCAGUCAUGCCUCCUUUACAGCCUGUGGAACUGGGACUGGAGUUGGGAUGCACCCUGUACCCAGAAGAUGGAUCUCCUCUUUGCUGAGGGAAUGAAUCCCCACUGGUUCAUUGCAAGCUCAAAAUGCUCAAUAAUCACAGAGAAAUGCCAGCCACCUCACAGAGGGCUGGCCUGGAGAGGAAUGUCAGAGCCCAAGGCUGGCAGAAGAGUGUCCCGAGCAUGAGGGGAUGGGCAUCUGCAAAUGGAAAGUCAGAGCUCAGGCAGCGAAGUUAGAGAGAAUAGAACAUCACUUCUGAGAUACUCCUAUCAAGGAUGUACACCGUGAGUCCAGCUACAAGUAAAUACUAAAGAAACCCAUGUUGCGGGACCUUCUACAAAAUCACUCUUCUCUAACUUCAUGAAGGUCAAGGGAAAGCUGAGGAGCUACUCCAGACUACAGGAAACUAAAGAGACGCCACAGCUAAAUCAACCUUGUGACUCUGAACGGCAUCCUUUGCCGUCAUGAGACAGAGGAUCCAACCUGAACGUGGCCUGAGGCUCAAAAGGUGGUGAUGCACCCAUACUAAUUUCUUGAUUCUAACAGUUACAUGUGGGCCUGUUCUUGUUUUAAGGAAAUGCAAACUGAUGUAUCUGGGGAGGACAGGGUAUUGAUUGUGUUGCCAACUUACUCUCAAGUGAUUUGAGGAAAAGUUGUUCAGAUUAUAUGUAUAACUUUUCUAUAUAUUUAGCAUUGUUCUCAAAGUGCAAAAAUAAUUUAUAUUACUGAAAAAGAUGAGAACUACCAAAAAAAUCUUCCAGUCAUAAAAUUCUGUGAGUCAAUAGAUCCUCAGAAAAGAAAUUUCUAAAAGACACACUUCAGGAGAAAAUAAAAACUAUUUUCCAGGAAUGCUCUGAGUUGCAAGAAGGAAAUGUUAAAAAAAAAUCCACUGGUAAGAAUGUGACUAAAUCUAUACUCACACAGACUGUAUAAAACGGUACAGAAUGCAUUUCAUUUGGUGGUUAGAAUAAAAGAAAUUACAGCUAAACUUCUGGACAAAAUUAACAUAUUAAGUAGAAGGAGUGCAACUGGAUUUAAGCUGCCUAAAGCCCUUGUAAUGCACAAGAGAGGCUAGCCAUAUUAAAUUUACAUCUCGUUAAGUAUGUAUGUUAAAUUUUUUAUAACUAACAGAAGUAGGAAAACCACCAGUGGGUCUUUUCCAUUAACCUGGUGUUUAUUAAACUGCUGCUCAUAAAUGAAAUUCAAGAGUUCCAUGAAUAUCUGAGUAAUACAGAUGGAAUAUAUGUAUGAUUAUAUUUACAUUUUUAAGAGUGUCCAUUAAUCAUAAAAAUUUUGACGAUGUGAGUGACAGCUGCCAUAACUAUGAAUCAUUAAACUAGACUAAAUUCUAUAAGAAAAGGGUCAUUGUCAAUUUUAUUCUGCCUCUCAUACUGUUACCUAUUUUUGAGAGCCUGAUAGAACAAAUGCAUUCAAGGUAUUAGGCAUCUGUGAUAAUAUUUACACAUUUUUACUUGUUAAAUUUGUUAGCCCAUCUCUGAUGAUGAGGAAGUGACACGAGAGAUUUUCACACAGUAGGCAGAAUGAAGAACGUCCUUGUCACACAGCCCCUUGUCAGUCUGGGAGUAAGAUCAAAGUCUGUCGAGGCAAUACCUUUGCCUCUUUGGAACUUAUCCCACCACUUCGAUGGCUAACCUUGGACUCUUUCUACAGAAACUGUGUACCCCUGGCCUUUAGCUCCUUUCCUUAAGCCAUUUUCAUGGCAUCUUGUUUGGAUAUCUGUGGCUGAUUUUGUUCUAUCCUUGUUUCUUUCUUUCUGCCACCUUUUUCUUACUGUUUUCCAGGAAGCCAUGCUGUGUCUCCAUAACUUUGCCACCAGCAGCAUUGGAGCACUCGAGUUCUAACUGAGUUUCUGGGUCUGUCCCCAUCCAAGCACUCACAGGCACGGCCCAUUAGCUUGCUGAAAGUGCCUACUGUUUGGUCCUAGAUUAGCUUCAAUCGCCGUCUCUUACAUGAUAUAACAUGCAGAUUACAUUUGUUUUAUAAUGAAUAAAGGUCCCCUGUAAUCACUGUAUGAAAAAAAAAACAAAUAAUUUGUCCCAGAGUAUUGUCCCUUUUGUAAUUUGCCACUGAAAGGAAUAUUCAGAAACGUGAGGCAGCCUAGCAUUCAAGUGGGCUCAGUAUUUUGACAACCCAGUGAGGGAAAUGAAACACCGGCAGCUCUUAGUCAGCCCAUGACCCUUCAGCAGAAAAACACGAAAUAGUCAAGAAGCCCAUUCCUCUUUCCCGUUUCUUUCUUACUGUAUAAAUGUAAAGGAUGAAAUGACGGAUUCUGCCUUCUCUGAAGUGUGUCCUUGUAUCUCUUAAAACCGAAUAGUCUAGGAACCAUGAAUACAAAACAGUAAGAAUUGACCUAUGAUGCAUACUUCAGUUAUCAUGAGAUCUCAUCUGGCAUUAUUGUUGUUAGUAUUACGAAUUCAUCCUAUCCUUGUGUCCCCUUUUCUUUUA
Molecule: long non-coding RNA, 5925 nt
Organism: Chlorocebus sabaeus (green monkey)
Lineage: Eukaryota; Metazoa; Chordata; Mammalia; Primates; Cercopithecidae
Source: RefSeq, a predicted model, not a curated record